This is a long non-coding RNA of Halichondria panicea, 593 nucleotides long. RefSeq lists it as uncharacterized. NCBI's taxonomy places the organism in Eukaryota, Metazoa, Porifera, Demospongiae, Suberitida, Halichondriidae. The record is from RefSeq and is a predicted model, not a curated record. The transcript is spliced from 3 exons.
ACAUGGACUGUGCAGACACCCUAUACCCACAUUACAUUCCUUAUCACUGGACUACCAGGUAUUUCUUCACAAAUAAUGUUGUAGCGGACUACAGACUUAACUUUGGCGCUGACAACGUUGUACUCCUCACCUCUUGUACAAUGCAGGACCACCCUCACUAUGUGCUUCAUGGAAUCACAAAAACUACCGAGUAAAGACGAGGCUGAAUGUGAGCAUUAAGUGGUUGUGUAGUUAACAUCGAUAGCACGAUUGACAACAAACUGGAGCAGCUCAGUAUUUGAGCAAUAUUAUCCAUCUAUCACAGGGCACUUUCCAGUUCUACACCAGUGUCGACUCAGAAAAAUUUUCAGAUAGUGUGCAUGCUUAUCGAGGCAGAGUUGCCAACAGAUCUCUACAAUCAGCCUAUUUUACAGAGCGGUCAGUACAGUGGCAAAGGUGAACUAACGAGCACCAGUUUGAAUGUAUCUUUCACUGUUCGCUGUGAGGAAGGUUUCUUUGGUGAAGGAUGCGAGAGACUAUGCAGUUUCAUAAUGGGUAGCUACCUGAAAAAUAAGUGAGCUGUAGAUCUACUCGAUCAUGCAUUACCUGCUAUA